Heterocephalus glaber (naked mole-rat) is the source of this 3031-nucleotide non-coding RNA. Lineage: Eukaryota; Metazoa; Chordata; Mammalia; Rodentia; Bathyergidae. The record is from RefSeq and is a predicted model, not a curated record.
UCUGUUUGCACACAGCCAUAUCCGUGGGAUCCAUAUACGUCCAGAGAGGAGCAGGUAUCAGAUUUGGGGUCUCCAUGUGACCUUUAUUCUUGGUGGGAUUUUCUUCCAGGAGACACUUGGUGAUAUUGAAGUUCAAGAGAAAGAACAUCAAGGGAGGCAGAAGUAGUGAACAAGAGGAAGACUGAGGACCCCCAAACUUGGACAUGACUCAGUAGAAACACACUGUAAAAUUUUCAGAAAGUUCAAGAUUCCUCUUGCUUCUGAUUAAAAGGGUCACAGCCCUCCCUAGUCCAGGUGCUGAAUAUGCAGUGUGGAAUAAUGGAGUAUUCCUAUUUUCGUAGAUUUUACAUGAUCGUGAAGAAAGCAAAAACUGACACAUACUUAUGUAAUAAUGAUAUCAAGGUUAUGAAGCAAAAAAAAUUGAAUAAGGCAGUGGAGAAUAUACGACAAGAGGCAAGAGGAUGUGUUGUGUUGGGGUGUGGGGUGGGGCUUUGAAAUAGGUCUCCUAAGAAUUUUUUAACCCUUCCUUUGAAAGGUGGAUCCCAAUUCCUCUCUCUUGGAAUGUGGGCUGGAUUCAGUUACUUCCUCUACCAAAUAAAGUAAAGUAGAGGUUGUGGUGCAUGGUGUCAGAGGCUGGAAAGUUACUGCGUCUUCUUCCUGGUUUUCUGGGAUUGUUUAUUCCAUAGAAAGAAGCCAUCUGAGAAGCUGACUCCCUGCCCCAGUCAAGCCUUCAGAUGACUGUAGCCCCUGGCAAUAUCUUGGGGGCAAUGGAAGGAGACACCCUGAACCAAUCCACACAGAGAAGCUGACCCUGGAUUCCUGAGCUGGAGAGGCUGCUGCCAUGAAGUGAAAAAUCUACUCUGCCACACACAUUCCUACUGCCAUAAUGCACUGUGCCAUCACAGACACAAAGCAACUGGGCCAAGUGUCAUUGGAAUGCAACUGGUUUGAGCAAGGAAAUUCUAUGGAAGGAUCUGAAGAACUGGAUUGAUCGGCCCUUUGCUGUCUAUCCCCACGUAAGAAGAGAACUGCAAGUGCCAAGGCUCAGAAAUGUUCAAGAGUCGGCAUCCUCUGAGGUAUGGUGAGAAAAAGGUUCUUGAGUGAGGAGCAGAGGGUGCCAUGGCCAGGGGCAUGGAGCAAUCCCAGGUUCCAAUCCCAGGUCUGUAUUUACUAGCUUUAUAACCUGGGAGGAGUUUGGGUAAGUCUUUGAGCUUUUCUUUCCUUAUCUAGAAAAAGGGACAUAACAGUACCUACCUUAGAAGAUUUCUUUCAAUACAGCAUUAGUUCCUAUCUCCUUAGGAAAGCUCACCCUCUUAGCGCGGGUCUCUUCUCCAUGGAUCCACCUAAUCCCUUGUUGAAUACGAAGGGUCAGGAGAGAUUCACUGGAGAAGGGAGAAGAUGGUGGGAGGGAGGGUCAUAGGGGGCAAAGUUAAAAGAAGAGUUGAGUGGGAGUCUGGGUCUCAGAAACAUGUCUCAGAUACCAGUCAGAGAAACAUAAGAGGCCCAAGCUUAUUACUUGCUCAGCAUCAGGCACGUGGCUUCUAAUGCUAUAUUUAAAACGCUACUGAAAUUAUGAUCCUGUUGUAGUUCCUUUGCAGGCUCUUCAUCAACCUAGGUGGAAUGUGUGGCUGGCAGGAAGCCAGCAUCAUCCCUUGAUCCCCUCCUCCAUAUGACUCAGCACAGAUCGGACACUUUAAUAGCUUCUGAGUCCAAGUUUGAACUCGCCCCAAAUGAAAGCCUCCCUCCCCUCAGUGCUUCCCCUACCUUCACAGCCCACUCUCCAUUUCCAAUUUAUCUGCUAGUAAAUUCUGAGUUGAGCUUGGAACCAGAGUUUCAUUUACUUUUGGCAAGGGAUCAAUUUCUUCCAAGAAAAGAAAAAAUGAGGAAAAGGAGGGGUAGAAGGGGGAAAUUUUUAAAAAGCCCAGCUAAACUAAAAGAGCUCAUGGAAACAGCCAUACAACAUGAAGUAGCUCAGCAAAGAAAGAGCAGUUCUUUUUGGUACAUUAAGUGUGAGUGAAUUUGAAACAGAGUUUGAAAUGAUCAGAACAUGCAGCUGAGGUUACCAACCAAGCACAGAUGGUCUCCUGGUUUGGAGAGGUUGUGGGGUCACUGAGACACUAGUGACUUCAGAACAGGAGAGAGGGAUUGAAGGUAACCACGGUGUCCACAUUCAUUUUCAUUCUGGAUUGUGUGGCCAUUUGACAUGUGACAUCCCUCAUGAUUUCUGGAUAGCAGAAGACCUGUUGAUAUAAGACUUUCCUGAUGGAUUUGCCAUCACUUUGAAAAGCAAGGGAUAUUUAUUGCAAUGCAAAGUAUCCUGAGUUAUAAGAAAAAAAAGUACAGUUAGUUCAACUCCACAUAUGGGAAAAAUGCAAAGUAAAUCCUCAACCUGAAAAGAAAUUGAAGUCUUAUAAUAGCCAUCAGCUUUGGAAAAAUCUUUUUCACAAUAUUCACUGCUGGAAAUGAUUUGGAAAAUAACUACUCUUCAUAUUAUGGGUAGUCAUGUAAAUGGCAUCAUCUUUCUGGAGGGGAAUUUGACAUUCUUUUUCUCCAUCCUUGCCCCACAUUCAUGUCUUGAUUGUGACAUUAAUUCUCUUUUAACCCCAUUUAUCAACCUCCCCUAGACAAUACUAAAAUGUUUGAUGUAUAUCAUUUUGCAUGAAUUCAUGCAAGAUGUAAGAUAUUUUGUUUGGAUGUAGUUUAAUAUAGAAAAAUGGCAUUAUAGGAUACUUCCUAAUUUUUCACUCAGCAUUAUAUUUAUAAUAUUACUAUAUGGACAUUUAAACUAUUGCUUCAAACUGUUUUACAAAAUUCCAUGGUGUGCAUCCAUUAUAGUUUACCUAAGAAGUUCCCCAGUGAUGGACUCCCACCUGCCACCAACUUCCCACCUCUGCAUUGGGUACUUUGCCCAUUAAAACAAAACAAAAAAAAAUGCGAAGGACAACACCAUAAAAAGUUGGAAUGGUGAUAGGUAUGGGUCUAGUUUUAAUCUUUGGCAGGUUGAAAUCCAGUUUUCCCAGCACCAUUUAUU